RNAcentral lists this ribosomal RNA (425 nucleotides) under uncultured bacterium. Its description in RNAcentral is "partial 16S ribosomal RNA". It matches the Rfam family "Bacterial small subunit ribosomal RNA", at positions 354 to 796 of the family's 1533-position model. The record is from RNAcentral.
GUUAGGAAUAUUGGACAAUGGGCGCAAGCCUGAUCCAGCCAUGCCGCGUGAGUGAUGAAGGCCUUCGGGUUGUAAAGCUCUUUAGCCGAUGAUUAUAAUGACUGUAGUCGGAAAAUAAGCCCCGGCUAACUUCGUGCCAGCAGCCGCGGUAAUACGAAGGGGGCGAGCGUUAUUCGGAAUCACUGGGCGUAAAGCGUGCGUAGGCGGCUUUGCAAGUUGGGAGUGAAAGCCCAGGGCUCAACCCUGGAAUUGCUCUCAAAACUGCACGUCUUGAGUACUGGAGAGGGAAGCGGAAUUCCGGGUGUAGAGGUGGAAUUCGUAGAUAUUAGGAAGAACACCAGUGGCGAAGGCGGCUCACUGGUCUGGUACUGACGCUGAGGUGCGAAAGCGUGGGGAGCAAACAGGAUUAGAUACCCUUGUAGUCC